RNAcentral lists this ribosomal RNA (268 nucleotides) under uncultured bacterium. RNAcentral describes it as "partial 16S ribosomal RNA". It matches the Rfam family "Bacterial small subunit ribosomal RNA", at positions 87 to 354 of the family's 1533-position model. The record is from RNAcentral.
CCCGGCGACCGGCGCACGGGUGAGUAACGCGUAUGCAACUUACCUAUCAGAGGGGGAUAACCCGGCGAAAGUCGGGCUAAUACCGCAUGAAGCAGGGGCCCCGCAUGGGGAUAUUUGCUAAAGAUUCAUCGCUGAUAGAUAGGCAUGCGUUCCAUUAGGCAGUUGGCGGGGUAACGGCCCACCAAACCGACGAUGGAUAGGGGUUCUGAGAGGAAGGUCCCCCACAUUGGUACUGAGACACGGACCAAACUCCUACGGAAGGCAGCAG